CGUUGGAUAACUCUAGGCCCUCUAGUGGGGAAUAACUAUCCGCACAAGGGAUGGCUAAUACCGCAUGAGGCCACAUGUCUCUUAGGAGACUAGAGGUUAAAUGAUUUAUCGCUAGAGGAUGAGUCUUGCGUGGGAUUCAGCUAGUUGGUGAGGUAACGGCUCACCUAAGGCUACUGAUCUCUAACAGGUCUGAGAGGAUGACCUGUCACACUGGGAACUGAGACACGGUCCAGACUCCUACGGGAGGGCAGCAGUAGGGAAUUUUGCGCAAUGGGGGAAACCCUGACGCAGCAACUGCCGCGUGGAGGAUGAAAUCCCUUGGGAUGUAAACUCCUUUCGAUCGGGAAGAUAAUGACGGUACCGAGAGAAGAAGCCCCGGUAACUUCGUGCCAGCAGCCGCGGUAAUACGUAGGGGGCCAGCGUUGCUCGGAAUUACUGGGCGUAAAGGGUCUGUAGGCGGUGCGGCAAGUCGAUAGUGAAAUCCCUAGGCUUAACCUAGGGGCUGCUAGCGAAACUGCCGUGCUAGAGUGUGAGAGAGGCGAGUGGAAUUACGGGUGUAGCGGUGAAAU
This 569-nucleotide ribosomal RNA is filed under the name uncultured bacterium. Its description in RNAcentral is "bacterial SSU rRNA". It matches the Rfam family "Bacterial small subunit ribosomal RNA", at positions 116 to 687 of the family's 1533-position model. The record is from RNAcentral.